This 63-nucleotide transfer RNA is filed under the name human gut metagenome. It matches the Rfam family "tRNA", at positions 6 to 65 of the family's 71-position model. From Rfam's summary of the family: Transfer RNA (tRNA) molecules are approximately 80 nucleotides in length. Their secondary structure includes four short double-helical elements and three loops (D, anti-codon, and T loops). The record is from RNAcentral.
CAUAGCUCAGUAGGUAGAGCAACUGACUGUUAAUCAGAGUGUCGCAGGUUCGAAUCCUGCUGU